AAACAUCUCCAGGUGGAAUAAAAGCUUCAUUUCGACUUCAGUGGGUAUCAUGGCCUUCUACUUCCUCGCUUCAGGAAAAUAAAAUAGCCCCCACUUCAUUUUUGUUUUGAUUUAUCUUGGGACCCCACCUGUACUUUGUCCAGGUGUGAGGGUCCCAACACAAGAAGGACUUUGACUUGUUGGAGUGAGUCCAGAGAAGGGCCACUAAGUUGAUCUCAAGUCUGGAGCACCUUUCUUAUGAAGACAGGCUGAGGGGCCACAGGACAGCUGGAGAGGGACCUUUGACAAAGGUUUGAGGUGGUAGGACAAGAGGAAUUGGCCUUAAGCUGUGGGAGGGAAGGUUAGAUUAUAUAUGGGGGAGAAAUUCUUCGCUGUGAAGGUGGUGAGACACUGGAAUAUGAUGCCCAGAGAAGUUGUGGGCUCAUCAUCCCUGGAAGUGUCCAAGACUGGGCUAAAUGGGGCUAUGAGUAACCUGGUCUAGUGGAAGGUGUCCCUGCCCAUGUCAAGGAGUUUGGAACAAGAUGAUUUUUAAGGUCCUUUUCAACCAAAGCCAUUCUAUGAUUGCAUGAUUUGAUAAUAAUCUUUGUUUCUUGUAAAUCUUAUGAUUUGUUAGCUGAACCAAAUAUCAUGCUCAUCAGUCAUGCCUGAAACCCUCCCUCCUACUCAAAAGCCAGAUGUGAACCAUGGACAAAAGGGGCUGAGAAUGGGCAAGUAUUCUGAGAAGUCUGGUUUGUGCUAGGCCUUGUCUGUGACAGCAACUGCCUCUGAGCCUCCAUGAGCAAAGUGUAUUUGGCUGAGCCCACUCCUCACACACUUCCUUCUGCUGUAGUCAGACUUCUGAACAUGAGCAGGCUGAUGAAAACGGAAAUGGCAGGCAAGGUCCCAGACAACUCCUCCAGACAAUGCCUGCAUAACUGGAGGAAGUCACAGACCUCUCUCUGAUAAGCAGGAGGAUCAGCCUUCACAAGUCUAGGGAAUCCUGCCACAAUUGAACAUAAAUGGUUUUACUGAGCUUCCAGACAAAACCUUCUUAAAUCUGCAUAUUGGAAGAAACAAUAAGAAUAACGGACCAAAAAAAUGUACCUGGUGUUUCCCUUCACCUUCCCAGAUGCAAAGCAAGGUAUGUACAGGGCACAUUCAGGUUCUCAUUUGUCAAAGUACUACCUAAAAAAGACUUUGGAAGCUGUGUGGACUAAAAUUCUCUGUUGCAUAGCUGUGGUUGUCCAGAUCUGGGC
RNAcentral lists this long non-coding RNA (1235 nucleotides) under Zonotrichia albicollis (white-throated sparrow). Its description in RNAcentral is "lncRNA (ENSZALG00000012860.1)". The record is from RNAcentral. Lineage: Eukaryota; Metazoa; Chordata; Aves; Passeriformes; Passerellidae.